GACAUUUAAGCUCUGUCUCUGCUGAGAAGAGUGCUUCACAUGACAUGCCUUAAAGUCCUGUCUGUGCUAGCAUCUAGACCGGAGACCUAGCUGAAGCAUUCAGGCAUGUCUGCCUUGGAAACACAGGCAUCAAAGCGACAGGAAGAGGAAGCGCCUGGUUCUUACCCUGAUACGGAGUCAGGAUACAGUUAUAGUGUGCAACUGGUCCCGGCAAGAGGUCACCUGCGUGCUCAAGCGAUGGCCAACGUACAGGAGGAUGGCGAUCAUCUGAGAGUCUACAGGCACUUGUGACAAACUAAUUUAUUCCACAUCAACAGGACUGAAGCCAAUUGAACAAAGAACCUCAGUAACAGCCUGACUUGACCAAACCUUGUCAAGAAGCAUUGAAUCUUGGGCACAAUGACAUUCUGCCUUGGAUACUGUAUAGCUGCGUGUUUGUGGAUUUCAAAAGUCAUAUGCAUCAGGGAAGUAAACUCUAAAAACUUCAGUCUUGCAAAAUUCAGGAGUUCUUAUACUGCAGACUACAGAUCAUGUAUCUUCUAAAGCCACUGUUUAACCGUUUUUAAGAUUCUCAUCAACUUUCAAAGCCUUUUGUUAGGAAGCUCUUCAGCUGACAGUAUCGUGGCUUCUGAAGGCAUCUCUCUGAAACACUGUCUGCAACAAGAACGAGAGAUGUCAGCAAAGGAAGCAGAGGGCUGGAUGUGGAACUAACUCCCUUUUGAAAGCACCAGAAUAGUUACAGAUCCUCCUGCUAUGAGACCACUUUUUGUCCAACAGACACAAGAGAAGUACAAUACUAUAAAUAUGAUAGACAAAUUCAGUGCUAACAGUAAGAUAUAAAUGUAGGGAAAAAAAAAGAUGUACCUUUGUGCAUAACUGCUGAAGUAUAUUAGAUACCAUGGAGGCCAGUUGGAUAUAGCUGCCUUAAGAGAGACCAUGGAUUAAGUUUUACCUGACAGUUUUAGAGCAGUGAAGAGAAAGAAGCUUUAAAACAGGACACGCACACCUCAGAAAAGAUUGUCAGAGCCAACAGUGAAAAAUGAGUGUAUGCAGAAAGCUUGGUUAAACUGAGCUUGCUACGAACUUUUUCAGACAACAAUGCCUCGCUUCUCCAGAAGCAUCUGCAGUAUUGCCAUCGUUACUACUGGUUACCAAUUGCCCAGGACUUUGUUAGUAGAAAAAGGAAUUAUUUUUACUCAGAACACUUUAUUCUUAUUGAGCGUCAAUAACUGAAGUGUUGCUGGGAGGGUCUCAUUGUCACCUGACUGUGCCUUUUCACAACCAGUGAGAUUACCAUCAGAAAUAAAGCUGCUCAGUCCAAGUAAUAUUCAGUAAUAAAUUGAUUAUGGACUU
This 1353-nucleotide long non-coding RNA is filed under the name Gallus gallus (chicken). RNAcentral's name for it is "lncRNA (ENSGALG00010006534.1)". The record is from RNAcentral. Lineage: Eukaryota; Metazoa; Chordata; Aves; Galliformes; Phasianidae.